Molecule: ribosomal RNA, 503 nt
Filed under: uncultured bacterium
Lineage: Bacteria
Description: partial 16S ribosomal RNA
Rfam family: Bacterial small subunit ribosomal RNA
Source: RNAcentral
AUUGAACGCUGGCGGCAGGCUUAACACAUGCAAGUCGAGCGGGGGAAGGUAGCUUGCUACUGGACCUAGCGGCGGACGGGUGAGUAAUGCUUAGGAAUCUGCCUAUUAGUGGGGGACAACAUCUCGAAAGGGAUGCUAAUACCGCAUACGUCCUACGGGAGAAAGCAGGGGAUCACUUGUGACCUUGCGCUAAUAGAUGAGCCUAAGUCGGAUUAGCUAGUGGGGGGGGUAAAGGCCUACCAAGGCGACGAUCUGUAGCGGGUCUGAGAGGAGGAUCGUCCAGACUGGGACUGCGUCGCGUCCCAGACUCCUACGGGGGGCGGGAGUGUGGAAUAUGGGACAAUGGGGGGUACCCUGAUCCAGCCAUGCCGCGUGUGUGAGGAAGGCCUUAUGGUUGUAAAGCACUUUAAGCGAGGGUGAGGCUCUUUUGGUUAAUACCCAAGAUGAGUGUACGUUACUCGCAGAAUAAGCACCGGUUAACUCUGUGCCAGCAGCCGCCGUAA